RNAcentral lists this ribosomal RNA (425 nucleotides) under uncultured bacterium. RNAcentral describes it as "partial 16S ribosomal RNA". It matches the Rfam family "Bacterial small subunit ribosomal RNA", at positions 354 to 796 of the family's 1533-position model. The record is from RNAcentral.
GUGGGGAAUAUUGGACAAUGGGCGAAAGCCUGAUCCAGCCAUGCCGCGUGAGUGAUGAAGGCCCUAGGGUUGUAAAGCUCUUUCACCGGUGAAGAUAAUGACGGUAACCGGAGAAGAAGCCCCGGCUAACUUCGUGCCAGCAGCCGCGGUAAUACGAAGGGGGCUAGCGUUGUUCGGAAUUACUGGGCGUAAAGCGCACGUAGGCGGACUAUUAAGUCAGGGGUGAAAUCCCGGGGCUCAACCCCGGAACUGCCUCUGAUACUGGUAGUCUCGAGUCCGGAAGAGGUGAGUGGAAUUCCGAGUGUAGAGGUGAAAUUCGUAGAUAUUCGGAGGAACACCAGUGGCGAAGGCGGCUCACUGGUCCGGUACUGACGCUGAGGUGCGAAAGCGUGGGGAGCAAACAGGAUUAGAAACCCUAGUAGUCC